Molecule: ribosomal RNA, 253 nt
Filed under: uncultured bacterium
Lineage: Bacteria
Description: partial 16S ribosomal RNA
Rfam family: Bacterial small subunit ribosomal RNA
Source: RNAcentral
UACGUAGGGGGCAAGCGUUGUCCGGAUUCAUUGGGCGUAAAGAGCGUGUAGGCGGCCAGGUAGGUCGGUUGUGAAAACUGGAGGCUCAACCUUCAGAGGUCGACCGAAACCAUCUGGCUAGAGUCCGGGAGAGGAGAGUGGAAUUCCUGGUGUAGCGGUGAAAUGCGCAGAUAUCAGGAAGAACACCCGUGGCGAAAGCGGCUCACUGGACCGGUACUGACGCUGAAGCGCGAAAGCGUGGGGAGCAAACAGG